GGGGUUGUAGCUCAGUUGGUAGAGCGCUCGCUUCGCAUACCUAAAUGAGACCUGCGAGAGGUCUGGGGUUCGACUCCCCACAGCUCCA
Aspergillus terreus NIH2624 is the source of this 88-nucleotide transfer RNA. It matches the Rfam family "tRNA". Rfam says of the family: Transfer RNA (tRNA) molecules are approximately 80 nucleotides in length. Their secondary structure includes four short double-helical elements and three loops (D, anti-codon, and T loops). Lineage: Eukaryota; Fungi; Ascomycota; Eurotiomycetes; Eurotiales; Aspergillaceae. The record is from Rfam.